Long non-coding RNA from Leopardus geoffroyi (Geoffroy's cat), 733 nucleotides. RefSeq lists it as uncharacterized. The record is from RefSeq and is a predicted model, not a curated record. NCBI's taxonomy places the organism in Eukaryota, Metazoa, Chordata, Mammalia, Carnivora, Felidae. The transcript is spliced from 3 exons.
GCCCGGGCCCCCAACGCCGCGCAGCCCUGUGUCCGCGAUCCCAGGCCAGCCAGAAGAGCCUAGGAAAUGAACGCCUCUUCAGAAAACGCACAUUUCGAGGGCAGUAACGCCAGACCCUUUUUUUAUGUGCACGCCAUGGGCCAGCAGCCUUACCUGAGUCCGUGGUGCCAGAGUCCCACCUAUAAUCCAUUCUCUGUUCCUGGGGCAGGAAACAAAUACUGAGUUCCAGCUCCAUAAAAGAACUAAAUAUUGCAUCAUUAUGGUGGUUUAGAACAUGUGAUUAUCCAUUGAUUUAAUCUAAUAAAGCUGUUACACCAACAAACAAGAAAAUAUGACAUUGUAAAGCCUUUGCAAUUAAAAGAUAUAAAACAGCAAAUAAAUUGAAUUGUGUAUGUGUGUGCUUCUCAAGCAUUUUGUUCCCGUCUCAAAAUGGCCACAUCACUGGUAACACCAACAGAGUUGGGUCAUUCCUGAAUACUUCUGCCAUGUCUAUUACUGUCUUAUAAUCUCAGGGACCUUUAAAUAUGGGGAAAAGGAUGGCAGAGUUGAGGACAGACUAAAUAGACGGAUUCCCCAUGAACAGGAACUACCCUGAAGAGAGAGACGGUACCUUUUUCAUUUUUUAUAAAUGGAAACCAGGCAUAUAGUAGGUCCACUGAUGGCUAUGUCCCAUGGUGGUUUGUAGUAUGUUACUUACUUCCAGUGUAUACUUGUAGAAACAAGGGAAACUUUA